CAGCAGCCGCGGUAAUACGUAGGGUGCGAGCGUUGUCCGGAUUUAUUGGGCGUAAAGGGCUCGUAGGUGGUUGAUCGCGUCGGAAGUGUAAUCUUGGGGCUUAACCCUGAGCGUGCUUUCGAUACGGGUUGACUUGAGGAAGGUAGGGGAGAAUGGAAUUCCUGGUGGAGCGGUGGAAUGCGCAGAUAUCAGGAGGAACACCAGUGGCGAAGGCGGUUCUCUGGGCCUUUCCUGACGCUGAGGAGCGAAAGCGUGGGGAGCGAACAGGCUUAGAUACCCUGGUAGUCCACGCUGUAAACGGUGGGUACUAGGUGUGGGGUCCAUUCCACGGGUUCCGUGCCGUAGCUAACGCUUUAAGUACCCCGCCUGGGGAGUACGGCCGCAAGGCUAAAACUCAAAUAAAUUGACGG
This 410-nucleotide ribosomal RNA is filed under the name uncultured rumen bacterium. RNAcentral describes it as "bacterial SSU rRNA". It matches the Rfam family "Bacterial small subunit ribosomal RNA", at positions 509 to 916 of the family's 1533-position model. The record is from RNAcentral.